CGGAGGAUCCAAGCGUUAUCCGGAUUCAUUGGGUUUAAAGGGUGCGUAGGCGGAAUGAUAAGUCAGUGGUGAAAGCCCUUCGCUUAACGAAGGAACUGCCAUUGAUACUGUCAAUCUUGAGUACAUUUGAUGUGGGCGGAAUGUGUCAUGUAGCGGUGAAAUGCUUAGAUAUGACACAGAACACCGAUUGCGAAGGCAGCUCACAAAACUGUAACUGACGCUGAGGCACGAAAGCGUGGGUAUCAAACAGGAUUAGAUACCCUGGUAGUCCACGCUGUAAACUAUGAUUACUCGAAGUGUGCGAUAUACUGUACGCCUCUAAGCGAAAGCAAUAAGUAAUCCACCUGGGGAGUACGCUCGCAAGAGUG
This 368-nucleotide ribosomal RNA is filed under the name uncultured organism. RNAcentral's name for it is "bacterial SSU rRNA". It matches the Rfam family "Bacterial small subunit ribosomal RNA", at positions 526 to 896 of the family's 1533-position model. The record is from RNAcentral.